UGGGGAAUAUUGGACAAUGGGCGCAAGCCUGAUCCAGCCAUGCCGCGUGAGUGAUGAAGGCCCUAGGGUUGUAAAGCUCUUUCACCGGUGAAGAUAAUGACGGUAACCGGAGAAGAAGCCCCGGCUAACUUCGUGCCAGCAGCCGCGGUAAUACGAAGGGGGCUAGCGUUGUUCGGAUUUACUGGGCGUAAAGCGCACGUAGGCGGACUUUUAGGUCAGGGGUGAAAUCCCGGGGCUCAACCCCGGAACUGCCUUUGAUACUGGAAGUCUUGAGUAUGGUAGAGGUGAGUGGAAUUCCGAGUGUAGAGGUGAAAUUCGUAGAUAUUCGGAGGAACACCAGUGGCGAAGGCGGCUCACUGGACCAUUACUGACGCUGAGGUGCGAAAGCGUGGGGAGCAAACAGG
This 404-nucleotide ribosomal RNA is filed under the name Pseudomonas sp. RNAcentral's name for it is "partial 16S ribosomal RNA". It matches the Rfam family "Bacterial small subunit ribosomal RNA", at positions 355 to 776 of the family's 1533-position model. RNAcentral also lists the same sequence under 3 other names. The record is from RNAcentral. Lineage: Bacteria; Pseudomonadati; Pseudomonadota; Gammaproteobacteria; Pseudomonadales; Pseudomonadaceae.